Molecule: ribosomal RNA, 230 nt
Filed under: uncultured bacterium
Lineage: Bacteria
Description: partial 16S ribosomal RNA
Rfam family: Bacterial small subunit ribosomal RNA
Source: RNAcentral
AAAGCGUGCGCAGGCGGCUUUGCAAGACAGAUGUGAAAUCCCCGGGCUCAACCUGGGAACUGCAUUUGUGACUGCAAGGCUAGAGUACGGCAGAGGGGGGUAGAAUUCCACGUGUAGCAGUGAAAUGCGUAGAUAUGUGGAGGAACACCGAUGGCGAAGGCAGCCCCCUGGGUCAAAACUGACGCUCAUGCACGAAAGCGUGGGGAGCAAACAGGAUUAGAUACCCUUGU